CCAGGGCAGCAGGUGUGGGAUAUUCUGCAUGGGGCGCACACAGGCCUGAUCAGCAUUUCCCGCGUGUAUUGAAGAAAGUCCUUUCGGGUUUGUUAAGCUACUUAAGUCGGGGAGGGGAAGGGCAGGUAAGCUAAUACCUUGCUUGUCUAUGACGCGUUACCGGCCAGGAUGAAGGCACCGGGCUAACUUCUGUGGCCAGCCAAUCGCGGGUUAUACAGGGGGGGUGCCAAGCGGUUAAUCCGGAAAUUACUGGGGCGUUAAAGCGCCGCCGUCAGGUGGGUUUGGUUCAGUUGGAUGUGAAAGUCCCCGGGCUCAAACCUGGGAACUGCAUUCAAAACUGGCCAGCUAGAGUUCGGUAGAGGGGGGGUGGAAAUUUCCUGUGUAGCGGUGAAAUGCGUAGAUAUAGGAAGGAACUCCAGUGGCGAAGGCGGCCACCUGGACUGAUACUGACACUGAGGUGCGAAAGCGUGGGGGAGCAAACAGGAUUAGAUACCCUGGUAGUUCACCCCGUAAACGAUGUCAACUAGGCGGUGGAAUCCUUGAGAUUGUAGUGGCGCAGCUAACGCAUUAAGUUGACCGCCUGGGGAGUUCGGCCGCAAGGUUAAAACUCAAAUGAAUUGACGGGGGCCCGCACAAGCGGUGGAGCAUGUGGUUUAAUUUGAAGCAACGCGAAGAACCUUUCCAGGCCUUGACAUGCAGAGAACUUUCCAGAGAUGGAUUGGUGCCUUUGGGAACUUUGACACAGGUGCUGCAUGGCUGUCGUCAACUUGUGUCGUGAGAUGUUGGGUUAAGUUCCGUAACGAGCGCAACCCUUGUCCUUAGUUACCAACCCGUAAUGGUGGGCACUCUAAGGAGACUGCCGGUGACAAACCGGAGGAAGGUGGGGAUGACGUCAAGUCAUCAUGGCCCUUACGGCUUGGGCUACACACGUGCUACAAUGGUCGGUACAGAGGGUUGCCAAGUCGCGAGGUGGAGCUAAUCUCACAAAACCGAUCGUAGUCCGGAUCGCAGUCUGCAACUCGACUGCGUGAAGUCGGAAUCGCUAGUAAUCGCGAAUCAGAAUGUCGCGGUGAAUACGUUCCCGGGCCUUGUACACACCGCCCGUCACACCAUGGGAGUGGGUUGCACACAGAAGUAGCGUAGUCUAACCUCGGGAGACGCUACCAC
This 1167-nucleotide ribosomal RNA is filed under the name bacterium CDSHGTNB-4. Its description in RNAcentral is "bacterial SSU rRNA". It matches the Rfam family "Bacterial small subunit ribosomal RNA", at positions 343 to 1460 of the family's 1533-position model. The record is from RNAcentral.